Molecule: long non-coding RNA, 1216 nt
Organism: Esox lucius (northern pike)
Lineage: Eukaryota; Metazoa; Chordata; Actinopteri; Esociformes; Esocidae
Source: Ensembl
AUAAUCAAAGGAUGUAUGUAUGAUCAAUGUAUCAGGACAAAUAAAGCCUUGUAUAAGAAUAAUCACUGGUGUGAUGGCUGCCAGAGGCGCUGAGGAUCGGGUUUCACAAACAACGUGUGGCCACGCUAAGAGGUUUGGUCGCCUAGAAGGGUCUGCUUUCGGCAGGAAGUCCCCCAAUCCACCUUGAAUAGAGGGAAGGCCACAAGGGACAGGGAUUACAGGGCACCGUGGAUACCAACCCAGCAUAGUAUGGAGGGCUGCUGAGGGUUUGGAUGCAGUUUGGUCGUGGUGGAUGGUUCUGUGUCAAACCAGGGGAGUGACGACUACCUACAAACUAGGAAGAGACAGGGUCAACAAACUAUAUGCGAGUGUAUGAGUGCAUGAAAUAAAGGAUUAAGAAGUUGGUCUGCCGAUGAAUGCAGAGUGAGUGUGGACAGUUGUUGUUGGAUAGUGAAUGUGUUUACCCAGCCCCCAGGGCAGGGUAGGGGAUGAGGAAAUCGGCCAAGAAAUCAGUUUAGAGGGCCGAGGGGCCCAGCAGAUGUGUGCUGGGGAUGUAACCAGGCAGGGCACAACAGGGGAAGCUGUCCCACAAAUCUGUGGCCCGAUAGAACUGGGCCAAACCAAGGCCCAAAUAAUUGGAAUAGAGCAUGGCAGCAGGCACAGUCUCAACCCCCUCAGAGUCCUGUGAACUCUUGGGCGGGACCAAAUCAGAGAUAUUGAGGGUGCCCAGAGAAUCCUGAAGGGGAGGGUCAGUUUUCAGCAAUAACGGUACAAACUGAUAAGGAACCAAUGCUGCACGUUCAAAUAAAGAAUAGAGGCACACAAAUGAUGUUACAUACUGGAGCCAGUUACACUUGUGUAAAUCCAAAUUAUGCCUCACACCUACCUAUGUCAGGAAAAUAUGGUAACACAGUAGGAUUCUCGGGACAAUCGCAGCUGAUACCCAUGACUGCUCCAGUACACCUAGCCACAAGCAGACUCUCAGCCAAACUUCCCAUUUUGGUUUCAGCACAUAAUCCAAAUAAUUUAUUUGGAAGAGACACAUUGUUUAAAUAGGGACUACAGAUUCAAUGCUUACCGGAUGGAAUAAUAAUAGAAGAAACAGAAUAAUCUAUCAAAAGGCAGAUGAUGAUGCAACAGGCAUCUUUAGCAAAUAUCUACUGGAUAGGAGACAUAGAGGAAGGAGUCAGAAAGGUUACUUCCAAAUGGGGGAAGU